Molecule: ribosomal RNA, 803 nt
Filed under: uncultured crenarchaeote
Lineage: Archaea; Thermoproteati; Thermoproteota
Description: bacterial SSU rRNA
Rfam family: Archaeal small subunit ribosomal RNA
Source: RNAcentral
GCCAUGCGAGUCACAUAGCAAUAUGUGGCAUACGGCUCAGUAACACGUAGUCAACAUGCCCAGGGGACGUGGAUAACCUCGGGAAACUGAGGAUAAACCGCGAUAGGUCAUUUCUUCUGGAAUGGGUAAUGACCCAAAUCUACAUGGCCCCUGGAUUGGACUGCGGCCGAUCAGGCUGUUGGUGAGGUAAUGGCCCACCAAACCUGUAACCGGUACGGGCUCUGAGAGGAGGAGCCCGGAGAUGGGCACUGAGACAAGGGCCCAGGCCCUAUGGGGCGCAGCAGGCGCGAAACCUCUGCAAUAGGCGAAAGCUUGACAGGGUUACUCUGAGUGAUUUCCGUUAAGGAGAUCUUUUGGCACCUCUAAAAAUGGUGCAGAAUAAGGGGUGGGCAAGUCUGGUGUCAGCCGCCGCGGUAAUACCAGCACCCCGAGUGGUCGGGACGUUUAUUGGGCCUAAAGCAUCCGUAGCCGGUUCUACAAGUCUUCCGUUAAAUCCACCUGCUUAACAGAUGGGCUGCGGAAGAUACUAUAGAGCUAGGAGGCGGGAGAGGCAAGCGGUACUCGAUGGGUAGGGGUAAAAUCCGUUGAUCCAUUGAAGACCACCAGUGGCGAAGGCGGCUUGCCAGAACGCGCUCGACGGUGAGGGAUGAAAGCUGGGGGGAGCAAACCGGAUUAGAUACCCGGGUAGUCCCAGCUGUAAACGAUGCAGACUCGGUGAUGAGUUGGCUUAUUGCUAACUCAGUGCCGCAGGGAAGCCGUUAAGUUUGCCGCCUGGGGAGUACGGUCGCAAGACUGAAACUUAA